AACCUGAUGCAGCGACGCCGCGUGAGUGAAGAAGGUCUUCGGAUUGUAAAGCUCUGUCCUUAGGGACGAAGAUGACGGGACCUGGCAGAGGAAGCCCCGGCUAACUACGUGCCAGCAGCCCCCGGAAUUAUACGUGCCAGCAGCCGCGGUAAUUA
RNAcentral lists this ribosomal RNA (155 nucleotides) under uncultured Clostridium sp. RNAcentral's name for it is "partial 16S ribosomal RNA". It matches the Rfam family "Bacterial small subunit ribosomal RNA", at positions 380 to 553 of the family's 1533-position model. Lineage: Bacteria; Bacillati; Bacillota; Clostridia; Eubacteriales; Clostridiaceae. The record is from RNAcentral.